AGAGUUUGAUCCUGGCUCAGGAUGAACGCUAGCGGCAGGCUUAACACAUGCAAGUCGAGGGGCAGCAUGACACGGAGAUUCGUCGAAGUGUUGAUGGCGACCGGCGCAAGGGUGCGUAACGCGUGAGCAACUUGCCCGUUUCUGGGGAAUAACCGGUGGAAACGCCGACUAAUACCCCAUAGUAUAACGAAGAGGCAUCUUUUUGUUAUUAAAGAACUUCGGAAACGGAUAGGCUCGCGUGACAUUAGCUAGAUGGCGGGGUAACGGCCCACCAUGGCGACGAUGUCUAGGGGUUCUGAGAGGAAGGUCCCCCACACUGGAACUGAGACACGGUCCAGACUCCUACGGGAGGCAGCAGUGAGGAAUAUUGGUCAAUGGUCUGACGACUGAACCAGCCAUGCCGCGUGAAGGUGACGGCCCUAUGGGUUCUUUAAACUUCUUUGGUAAGGGAGCAAUAAGUCUUCACGUGUGGGAUGAUGAGAGUACCUUACGAAUAAGCAUCGGCUAACUCCGUGCCAGCAGCCGCGGU
This 529-nucleotide ribosomal RNA is filed under the name uncultured bacterium. RNAcentral describes it as "bacterial SSU rRNA". It matches the Rfam family "Bacterial small subunit ribosomal RNA", at positions 8 to 521 of the family's 1533-position model. The record is from RNAcentral.